Pelodiscus sinensis (Chinese soft-shelled turtle) is the source of this 746-nucleotide non-coding RNA. The record is from RefSeq and is a predicted model, not a curated record. Lineage: Eukaryota; Metazoa; Chordata; Testudines; Trionychidae.
GUAAAAAUAAAACAACAACAAAAUAGGGUGGAGGGAAUACGUUAUCAUAGAUAUGGUAAGGCUGCUAGGAAAUUUAGCAAUGGGGAAGAAUUGUGUUCGGAUCCAAAGUCCCAGUUCUUAAGGGUGAGACAAUAACCCUUCCUUGUCUGAUUCCCAUCCCCAUGUUUUAGGAAUGAAGGGCCACAUUUUCUUCUUUUUACACCAGGGGAAGAUUUUUUAAAAGCACUGGAUAGAGAUUUGGCAGGUCUGGGUUCCAGUUCUAGAUCUACCUAGGAGACCUGCUGUCUGACCUUGCUAGAUCCUGGACCCAGAGCAAGUCCCUUUCCGCUGCUCACAGGGUAUUGACUGUAGGAAAUUCCCCCAGUGGUGCCGGGGCAUUCCAGGAAUGAGGAGGGAUGCACGGCUCAGCUGAAGUGGGCUACAUUCAAGGGUACAUCUACACAGUGGUUAAGUGUUGCCGCUCCCAGCCCUGCAACAGCAAAGGGUUUGGCUACACUACAGAGUUAAAUCACCAAAACAAAAAUCGCCACAGCAUGUUCACAUUUGCUUCUUCUGUCAACAGACUGGGGACACCACACUGGGGAAUUCAUCAUCAACAGUGUGAGCAAUGCAUCGUGGGUAUGUAUUAGGGACGUCAACAUGUAGCUGACUACAUCGUUAACAGAUAAGCCUGGGCUUAUUGGUUAAUAUUGCAGCAAUGAAAGGGGGGGAGGGAGCAGGAGCCGGGGUCUGUGAGAAACUGCCUU